ACGAACGCUGGCGGCAUGCCUAACACAUGCAAGUCGAACGAGACCUUCGGGUCUAGUGGCGCACGGGUGCGUCACGCGUGGGAAUCUACCCUCAGGUUCGGAAUAACUCAGAGAAAUUUGAGCUAAUACCGGAUGAUGACGUAAGUCCAAAGAUUUAUCGCCUGAGGAUGAGCCCGCUUAGGAUUAGGUAGUUGGUGAGGUAAAGGCUCACCAAGCCGACGAUCCUUAGCUGGUCUGAGAGGAUGAUCAGCCACACUGGGACUGAGACACGGCCCAGACUCCUACGGGAGGCAGCAGUGGGGAAUAUUGGACAAUGGGCGAAAGCCUGAUCCAGCAAUGCCGCGUGAGUGAUGAAGGCCUUAGGGUUGUAAAGCUCUUUUACCCGGGAUGAUAAUGACAGUACCGGGAGAAUAAGCUCCGGCUAACUCCGUG
Molecule: ribosomal RNA, 432 nt
Filed under: uncultured bacterium
Lineage: Bacteria
Description: partial 16S ribosomal RNA
Rfam family: Bacterial small subunit ribosomal RNA
Source: RNAcentral